GGAGGGUUGGCCGAGUGGGAAGGCAGCGGGUUGCUAAGCCGUGGUCAGGGGUCUCCCUGCGCGAGUUCGAAUCUCGCACCCUCCG
RNAcentral lists this transfer RNA (85 nucleotides) under Actinomadura yumaensis. Its description in RNAcentral is "tRNA-Ser". It matches the Rfam family "tRNA". Rfam says of the family: Transfer RNA (tRNA) molecules are approximately 80 nucleotides in length. Their secondary structure includes four short double-helical elements and three loops (D, anti-codon, and T loops). RNAcentral also lists the same sequence under 1 other name. The record is from RNAcentral. Lineage: Bacteria; Bacillati; Actinomycetota; Actinomycetes; Streptosporangiales; Thermomonosporaceae.